Molecule: unclassified non-coding RNA, 405 nt
Filed under: uncultured fungus
Lineage: Eukaryota; Fungi
Description: partial contains small subunit ribosomal RNA, internal transcribed spacer 1, and 5.8S ribosomal RNA
Rfam family: Eukaryotic small subunit ribosomal RNA (bases 1-73)
Source: RNAcentral
GCAAACUUGGUCAUUUAGAGGAAGUAAAAGUCGUAACAAGGUAACCGUAGGUGAACCUGCGGUUGGAUCAUUACAGAAUGAUUUCGGCCUCGGCCGUGUGCUUUUGAUGUGCAAUUAAAUUUGCCUCACUAGCAUAUCUACCCAACCUUUUGUGAACUGUUGUGUCUCUGGCAGUGGGGCUGCAUUGUCUUCUUGUUCAGAGAAAGGCAAAUGCAGUCUGUCAGCUCAGUCAGACGGUUCAGUGUCUUUUAUGAUACUGCUCUGUCGGUCUGCGCCGUGGACAAGCUGCCAACCACUUGAAACUUUUUAUUCUAUAAUUUUAUUGUCUUACACUUUAAGUAUUUAAUUAUACAAACAACUUUUGGCAACGGAUCUCUUGGCUCUCGCAUCGAUGAAGAACGCAGC